This 380-nucleotide ribosomal RNA is filed under the name uncultured bacterium. RNAcentral's name for it is "bacterial SSU rRNA". It matches the Rfam family "Bacterial small subunit ribosomal RNA", at positions 521 to 896 of the family's 1533-position model. The record is from RNAcentral.
UAAGACGGAGGGGGCAAGCGUUGUCCGGACUCACUGGGCGUAAAGGGUGCGCAGGCGGUCCUGUGCGUCGGCGCUGAAAGCGCCCGGCUUAACCGGGUGAGGCGCGCCGAUACGAUGGGACUUGAGGCUCGGAGAGGGUGGUGGAACUCCUGGUGUAGUGGUGAAAUGCGUAGAGAUCAGGAAGAACACCCGUGGCGCAAGCGACCACCUGGCCGAGACCUGACGCUGAGGCACGAGAGCGUGGGGAGCGAACCGGAUUAGAUACCCGGGUAGUCCACGCCGUAAACGAUGUCGACUCGGUGUGCGCGCUCCGUUAAGGAGCGGGUGUGCCUUAGCUCACGCGGGAAGUCGACCGCCUGGGGACUACGAGCGCAAGCUUA